GGGUUUACUCAUUGGUCAGGCUUAAUUGUCUGUACUGGUGAGAUGAAUCUCUACCUUCUGAGGAACUUUCAUGCCAUUUAUUUGGUGUGAUGGGAAAUCAGGACUGUUACCUUGAAAAAAUUAUAGUGUUUAAAGCAGGCUAACGUCUGAAUACAUUAGCAUGGAAUAAUAGAAUAGGACGGACUGAUUCUAUUUCGUUGGUUUCUAGGAUCACCGUA
RNAcentral lists this ribosomal RNA (218 nucleotides) under Campeiostachys nutans. RNAcentral's name for it is "Elymus nutans partial small subunit ribosomal RNA". The stretch from base 46 to 218 matches the Rfam family "Eukaryotic small subunit ribosomal RNA", at positions 691 to 864 of the family's 1831-position model. The record is from RNAcentral. Lineage: Eukaryota; Viridiplantae; Streptophyta; Magnoliopsida; Poales; Poaceae.